RNAcentral lists this ribosomal RNA (570 nucleotides) under Triticum aestivum (bread wheat). RNAcentral describes it as "partial small subunit ribosomal RNA". The record is from RNAcentral. Lineage: Eukaryota; Viridiplantae; Streptophyta; Magnoliopsida; Poales; Poaceae.
AUGGACGACGCCGGGGAGCCGCGCCUGCCCAGGAAGAGGGGCACCAAGAGGCCCCCUCCCUCGGCGGCGCCGCCGCCGCCCGCCCAGGGCGGCGGCAGGGGGAGGGACAGGUUCGAGUCGCUCUGGCGGGACUACCACGAUUUGCUCAAGGAAACUGAGGCAAAGAAGAGGAGGCUAGAGCGCAUAAACCAGCGAAAGCUUGGACUGCUCGCCGAAGUCAAAUUCUUGCGGAAGAAGUACAGUUCGUUUGCGAAGGAUGAUCCAGAGCAAACACAUCACAGGCUAAAGAAGAAGAAGGCUAAGCAAAUCCCAUCCAUUCUGGGAAUCAAUGAAGGGCCAUCCACCAGCAAGAACACAAAUGUGGACUUGAAUCAUGAUUCUGCAAUGAAUGCUGAGGGAGCCGGUUUCCAGGACCAUCCAGAACCUGGGAAGCAUGAUCAGGCUGGUGUAGAUGAAGAUAUAAUGGCCUCCAAUAUCAACUUAUCAGUUUAUAGGGAUACAGAAAAUUCCCCAGCCAGUGAUGAUAAGAGGGCAGCCGCAUGGCAAGACCGGGUAGCCUUGCAGGUCUAG